Molecule: long non-coding RNA, 329 nt
Filed under: Phoenix dactylifera (date palm)
Lineage: Eukaryota; Viridiplantae; Streptophyta; Magnoliopsida; Arecales; Arecaceae
Description: long non-coding RNA (PDAC_LNC009342)
Source: RNAcentral
CUUAGCAUUCAUCCAAUAGAUUCAUCUUUAUCUCAUCUUGCAUCCCAUAAAACCUUUGCCUCAAAACAGAGUUCGUUCCCAGCAUUCCGUGAAUCUCAACGUCAUCAGAUUCCUCUCCUCUGGAUCAACUUCAUCCCAACAACUCGAUCAGUUCUAUCGUUAUCCCGUAUCCAGCAUCAUCCAACUCCCCUGCUACGGAUCCCAUCUUCUCAACCGUGAGCUUCCUCCACGACCUCCUCUGCUUCGAAACAGAGCUCCAAUCUCCACGUCACCUCCGAAAUUCAGCUCCAACUUCUCCCGCGUCCGGAUCUCCCGCAGCAACAAAUUUC